Molecule: unclassified non-coding RNA, 348 nt
Filed under: soil metagenome
Description: partial contains 5.8S ribosomal RNA, internal transcribed spacer 2, and large subunit ribosomal RNA
Rfam family: 5.8S ribosomal RNA (bases 1-120)
Source: RNAcentral
GAUGAAGAACGUAGCGAAAUGCGAUAAGUAAUGUGAAUUGCAGAAUUCAGUGAAUCAUCGAAUCUUUGAACGCACAUUGCGCCCGCCAGUAUUCUGGCGGGCAUGCCUGUCUGAGCGUCAUUUCAACCCUCAUGCCCCUAGGGCGUGGUGUUGGGGAUCGGCCAAAGCCCGCGAGGGACGGCCGGCCCCUAAAUCUAGUGGCGGACCCGUCGUGGCCUCCUCUGCGAAGUAGUGAUAUUCCGCAUCGGAGAGCGAUGAGCCCCUGCCGUUAAACCCCCAGCUUUCCAAGGUUGACCUCAGAUCAGGUAGGAAUACCCGCUGAACUUAAGCAUAUCAAUCAGCGGAGGA